RNAcentral lists this ribosomal RNA (515 nucleotides) under uncultured bacterium. RNAcentral describes it as "partial 16S ribosomal RNA". It matches the Rfam family "Bacterial small subunit ribosomal RNA", at positions 28 to 523 of the family's 1533-position model. The record is from RNAcentral.
GAUGAACGCUGGCGGCGUGCCUAAUACAUGCAAGUCGAGCGAAUGGAUUAAGAGCUUGCUCUUAUGAAGUUAGCGGCGGACGGGUGAGUAACACGUGGGUAACCUGCCCAUAAGACUAGGAUAACUCCGGGAAACCGGGGCUAAUACCGGAUAACAUUUUGAACCGCAUGGUUCGAAAUUGAAAGGCGGCUUCGGCUGUCACUUAUGGAUGGACCCGCGUCGCAUUAGCUAGUUGGUGAGGUAACGGCUCACCAAGGCAACGAUGCGUAGCCGACCUGGGAGGGUGAUCGGCCACACUGGGACUGAGACACGGCCCAGACUCCCACGGGAGGCAGCAGUAGGGAAUCUUCCGCAAUGGACGAAAGUCUGACGGAGCAACGCCGCGUGAGUGAUGAAGGCUUUCGGGUCGUAAAACUCUGUUGUUAGGGAAGAACAAGUGCUAGUUGAAUAAGCUGGCACCUUGACGGUACCUAUCCAGAAAGCCACGGCUAACUACGUGCCAGCAGCCGCGGUAA